AGCGCAGACGGUUGAUUAAGUCUGAUGUGAAAGCCCGGAGCUCAACUCCGGAAUGGCAUUGGAAACUGGUUAACUUGAGUGCAGUAGAGGUAAGUGGAACUCCAUGUGUAGCGGUGGAAUGCGUAGAUAUAUGGAAGAACACCAGUGGCGAAGGCGGCUUACUGGACUGUAACUGACGUUGAGGCUCGAAAGUGUGGGUAGCAAACG
Molecule: ribosomal RNA, 207 nt
Filed under: uncultured bacterium
Lineage: Bacteria
Description: partial 16S ribosomal RNA
Rfam family: Bacterial small subunit ribosomal RNA
Source: RNAcentral